Molecule: ribosomal RNA, 503 nt
Filed under: uncultured bacterium
Lineage: Bacteria
Description: partial 16S ribosomal RNA
Rfam family: Bacterial small subunit ribosomal RNA
Source: RNAcentral
GAUGAACGCUAGCGGCAGGCCUAACACAUGCAAGUCGAGGGGUAGCAGGAUUAAGCUUGCUUAAUUGCUGACGACCGGCGCACGGGUGCGUAACGCGUAUGCAACCUACCUUAUACUGGGGUAUAGCCCGGAGAAAUUCGGAUUAAUCCGCCAUAGUACUAAUGAAUCGCAUGGUUUAUUAGUUAAGGCAUUGCGGUAUAAGAUGGGCAUGCGUCCUAUUAGCUAGAUGGUGAGGUAACGGCUCACCAUGGCUACGAUAGGUAGGGGGCCUGAGAGGGUGGUCCCCCACACUGGUACUGAGACACGGACCAGACUCCUACGGGAGGCAGCAGUGAGGAAUAUUGGUCAAUGGGCGCAAGCCUGAACCAGCCAUGCCGCGUGCAGGAAGAAUGCCCUAUGGGUUGUAAACUGCUUUUAUUUGGGAAUAAACCUCCUUACGUGUAGAGAGCUGAAGGUACCAAAUGAAUAAGCACCGGCUAACUCCGUGCCAGCCGCCGCGGUAA